CCGGCGACCGGCGCACGGGUGAGUAACACGUAUGCAACCUGCCCUCUUCAGGGGGACAACCUUCCGAAAGGGAGGCUAAUCCCGCGUAUAUCGGUUUCGGGCAUCCGAGAUCGAGGAAAGAUUCAUCGGAAGAGGAUGGGCAUGCGGCGCAUUAGCUAGACGGCGGGGUAACGGCCCACCGUGGCGACGAUGCGUAGGGGUUCUGAGAGGAAGGUCCCCCACACUGGUGCUGAGACACGGACCAGACUCCUACGGGAGGCAGCAG
This 265-nucleotide ribosomal RNA is filed under the name uncultured bacterium. RNAcentral describes it as "partial 16S ribosomal RNA". It matches the Rfam family "Bacterial small subunit ribosomal RNA", at positions 88 to 354 of the family's 1533-position model. The record is from RNAcentral.